UCUCGACCAAGGAUUGCAAUCUAGUGCAAUUCGUGAGAGGCUCGAUUAAGCAUUUCACGCGUGCAAUUCGUGUGUUUGUGAAAAUUUUAGGGUUGUCCCAUGACAAGCGGCAUUUAUUACUCAUGCCUUCAAACCAGUGGACAGUUGGGGGUAAUUUUCAAAUUUCAACUAUCGAUCGACUCAGAUGACAAUAAGUACAACACAAAAAGAUUAACUCAACUAAUCAUAAUUACUAUCAAGGUUUUUUCGAGUCCAGGUUCGAGUUUAUAUAUUAUGUGCAUUGUUUAAAAAUAUAUUUUUUUAUUUUAGGAUUUGAAUUUACAUUUUUUUUUUAAUUAACCAUGGAUGGAGGUGUAAAUGGGUCUGGAUCCGACCCGGUCUGAACCCAGCUGCCUGGAUCCAGAGCUGAGGUUAAUUUUAACCCUAUUAAACAUUUUGGGGUCUGGGUUCAAACUCGGUUCCAAAAAUUAUAAUUAAAAAUAUAAAUUAUUAAUAUUAUAUUUAAUCUUAGGGUUUUAAUUAUAAAAGUAACCUAUAUCAUCUUCAACGACCUUAGGGUUUAAUUAUAAAAAUACUCAUUAUAUUUUCUUAAUCUUAUUUAUUUUCUAAAUUACACAAUUACACAUGCUUAAUCCCAACACAAUCCAAAUACCUUAGGUUUUUUUUCCAAAAACUGUGACUUUUUGAUUCUGUAUGACUAAUUAAAUAUCUAAAUACUUACAUUAUUACUGACUUACUGUAUUACAGGAUAUUUUAAAGUUAAUUUUUUAUUUACUAUUUUAAUUUUUUAUUAAUUUUUUAAGAUAUAUUUUAAGUUAUGAUCUAUUUUUGUGAUCUAUUUUUAUAAUGAUCUAUUUUGUAUGAUCUAUAACUUCUCUCUAUAUCCCAUAAUCUUUGUGAAUGAAAAACAUCUGUCAUUCUUUACACGGAUAAAUCAUUUGACAAAAGAAAACAUCAUUCAAUGUCUGUAGAAGAAGAAUGUUGUGACUGUUUCAACGUUGUGAAGAAGAAGCAUUACAAUGGAUGGAGUGAGAUCUUCAAAGAAUUUAAAAAAUGCAAAAGCCGUCGCCGUUUUAAAAAUCGCCGUUCCAAUAAUCAAUUUGAGCUUUCAAUGUACAAUAUCAUGCAUGGAUUUUCAUCAUCAAAUUGGGUCCGUGAAAAAGCUGUAUCUUCUUACAUUCCGAAAUAUAUGUUUUUCAAUCUGUUCUCAAGCUUCAGAGAUUUCGUUAAAUCUCGCCUAAAGUUCGACCCGUUAGACCACUUAGUUAAACUUGGGUGUUCAUCAAGCUCCUACUGUUUUUUAUUCCAUAUUUUUGUUGAAUUCUGUUCUUAUCAAUUUCCAAAUAUGAUAGAAACAAACAAAGAUAUGGUGGAAUAUUGUGUCGAACUUACAAAACAACCCAAAACAUGGUAUCCGACAACUCGUUCCGUGAAACGGUCUAUUAUCUAUCAUUGCGGGCCGACAAACAGUGGAAAAACUCACGCCGCACUGAAAAGAUUUAUGGAUCACAACCACAAGGCAAUUUAUUGUAGUCCCUUGCGUAUUUUGGCCAUCGAGGUUUGUGACAGAGUGAAUGCGUCUGGGAUUUCAUGUAAUCUGAUUACAGGUCAAGAAAAAAUUAUAAAACCGCUAUCAACACAUAUUUCUUGUACAAUCGAAACAAUCACAACGGAUGACUAUUACGAUGUCGCAAUAAUUGAUGAGAUCCAAAUGGCGUGUGACGAACAACGUGGUGGGUCUUGGACAAGAGCGUUGCUUGGGAUAAAAGCCAACGAGAUCCACUUAUGCGGAGAUACGACUGCUAUGAAGAUGAUCACCAAGAUACGUCAAGAAUUGGAGGAAGAUCUUACAAUAAAGAGAUAUUAACGUUUAAAGCCAUUGCAGGUAGAAGAAGAGAGUCUCCGCGAUUUAAAAUAUGUUCAACCAAAAGACUGCAUCAUCGCAUUCUCGAGAAGAAGUGUUUAUGAAAUUAAGAAUAGGAUAGAGGAAUCAACCUCGUAUCGAUGUUGUAUGAUCUAUGGUUCAUUACCAUCUUACACACGACAAAGACAGGCUGAGCUAUUUAACGAAGAAAAUAAUAAUUUUGAUAUUUUGAUAGCAACCGAUGCUGUGGGAAUGGGGAUGAAUUUAAAUAUCCGAAGGGUUGUAUUUUCCUCAUUUUUGAAAUACGACAGGUAUGGACAACAUCAAAUUUCGGCCUCUCAAGUCAAACAAAUUGCAGGACGAGCCGGAAUGAGAGGAUCUCCAUACCAUCAUGGACUAUGCACAACUUUAGAAGAUUGUGAUUUACAAUAUUUACGACACUGUCUUGAAAAACCGUUGGGAGAUAUGCAACAGAUGGGUCUUUUCCCUCUCUACGAGCAUCUGAACUCAUUUAUGAACCUUGCGAAAGAAAAACUUGAGUUUUACAAUAUGUUAACUAGAUUUAAAGAAUCCAGUUGUAUGGAUGAUGAAUAUUUCAUGUGCGAUGUCGAACAGUUCGAGACGGUAGCAUUUGCAUUGAGAUCGAUCUCCACCGGUCUCUCUUUUAAAGAAAGAUUCAAUUUUUGUAUGGCACCAGUGAACAUAAAGAAUCGUGAUGUAAUGCGACAUCUCUGUAUCUUCGCAGAGUUAUACAGUAAAAAUCUUCCAAUAACAUUUUCUAUUGAAUUGGAUACUACAUCAUCCAUAGAAGAUGAGAGAGAUUUGAUGGUUUUGGAAACAUACAAUCAAAUUCUGACUGUGUAUAUAUGGCUAUCUCAACAACUUGAUAUCCAAAGAUUUACGCAGAUAAAAGAGGCAGAGAUGAUCAUAAGCAAUAUUAACUCUUCCAUUUCAAAUUUUUUGUUUAAAGCAGUCAAAUAAUAUCGAUCAAGAAAUGUAUUUUUUUUAAACGGAAUGUACUAGAUUUUUUAAAAUUUUUAUGAUAUAUAUAUGAUAAGAAUUAGUUAAUUUAGUUGUUCAUAGCUAGUAGUUUAAACUGUUGUUAGUUGAGUUAACUGAAUAUUAGUGUUAGAUUGUAGUAUAUAAUAAGGAGAUUGAGGAUACUUUGGAUAAUAUAUAUACUCAAUGUAUUUAAAUCAGUCAAAUAUUUAUAUCAGUCAAAUAUUUAAAUCAGUCAAAUACUUUGGAUAAUAUACCCAAUAAGGAGAGAUUUUUUUUUUAAGCAUUCAAAUAUUUACCGAGAAAUGUAUUUAAAUCUCAACCGUCUAUUAAAAAAACAUUUAGAUUUGCACCAUAUUUUUAACCAUCCAUCCAAAAAACCAUUGGAUUUAAAAUCAACGAUAGGAUUAAAGAUAUCUCGUAUUUAGGAUUCAACAGAACUCUUCUAAAAUAUAAAGUGCAGGUGCGCACCUACUAAUAUACGCACCGAGCGCACCCUAUUAAUUAUUACUUCCUUAAAAAAUAACUAAUUACUACGAUCUAUUGAACCUAUCUGUACCUACUAUUCCUAUACAUCAAUUGUCAUGUCAUUCAUUUGCCUAUUUAACUAAACCCAUUACCUAUUGAUUAUGUCAAUCAUGCGAUCAUACCCUCCUUCCUCUUCCAAACGACUUCCUUUCUCUCACACCCAUUUCAAUCCCCCAACCUUCCACAACUCUUCAUACCCUCCUUCCUCUAAACACAUUUCUAAUCACCCGUCUUCUUGAUCGGCUACUCCUACUGCCUUUUGUUUCCGAAACAAUUUUUCAGUCGCCCGUCGUUAUCUUCGGUCGUCUGUUUCUACAGUAGUAUCCCCAUUGUUCGCACUCGGUAAUUUUUCCAAUCAUAGAUGAGUAUUUUAUACUAGUUUCUUUUUCCCUUUAUUAUGUUCUGUAAUCUAUUACCUAUGAAAAACAUCAAAUGCCACCUAUAAACAACUACUGACACCCAUAAACUAAAAACACUAUUACCUAUCGCAAUUAUGUACUACCACUAACCCUAACCCUAGUGCAAUUUUGUACCACCACUAACCCUAACACUAGUACAAUGAUGCAUCACCACUAACCCUAACCCUAACACUAGUGCAAUUAUACACCACCACUAAACCCAACCCAAACACUAGUGCAAUUAUGUACCGCCACUAACCCUAAUCCUAAACCUAAACCUAACACUAGUUCAAUUAUGCACCACAACUAACCCUAACCCUAAUCCCUAGUGCAAUUAUGUAACCCCACUAACCCUAACCCUAACACUAGUGUAAUUCGUGGGAGGCCCGACCAAGCAUUUCACACGUGCAAUUCGUGUGAGUCUCGAUCAAGGAUUGCAAUCUAGUGCAAUUCGUGAUAGGCUCGAUUAAGCAUUUCACGCGUGCAAUUCGUGUGUUUGUGAAAAUUUUAGGGUUGUCCCAUGACAAGCGGCAUUUAUUACUCAUGCCUUCAAACCAGUGGACAGUUGGGGGUAAUUUUCAAAUUUCAACUAUCGAUCGACUCAGAUGACAAUAAGUACAACACAAAAAGAUUAACUCAACUAAUCAUAAUUACUAUCAAGGUUUUUUCGAGUCCAGGUUCGAGUUUAUAUAUUAUGUGCGUUGUUUAAAAAUAUAUUUUUUUAUUUUAGGAUUUGAAUUUACAUUUUUUUUUAAUUAACCAUGGAUGGAGGUGUAAAUGGGUCUGGAUCCGACCCGGUCUGAACCCAGCUGCCUGGAUCCAGAGCUGAGGUUAAUUUUAACCCUAUUAAACAUUUUGGGGUCUGGGUUCAAACUCAGAUCCAAAUAUUAUAAUUAAAAAUAUAAAUUAUUAAUAUUAUUUUUAAUCUUAGGGUUUUAAUUAUAAAAGUAACCUAUAUCAUCUUCAACGACCUUAGGGUUUAAUUAUAAAAAUACUCAUUAUAUUUUCUUAAUCUUAUUUAUUUUCUAAAUUACACAAUUACACAUGCUUAAUCCCAACACAAUCCAAAUACCUUAGGUUUUUUUCCAAAAACUGUGACUUUUGAUUCUGUAUGACUAAUUAAAUAUCUAAAUACUUACAUUAUUACUGACUUACUGUAUUACAGGAUAUUUUA
Molecule: long non-coding RNA, 4963 nt
Filed under: Zostera marina
Lineage: Eukaryota; Viridiplantae; Streptophyta; Magnoliopsida; Alismatales; Zosteraceae
Description: long non-coding RNA (ZMAR_LNC005451)
Source: RNAcentral